GGGCUCGUAGCUCAGCCUGGCAGAGCACCGGCCUUUUAAGCCGGUCGUCGCGGGUUCAAAUCCCGUCGAGCCCA
Nanohaloarchaea archaeon SG9 is the source of this 74-nucleotide non-coding RNA. The record is from Rfam. Lineage: Archaea; Methanobacteriati; Methanobacteriota; Candidatus Nanohaloarchaea.